CCACAAGAAAGUGCCAGUUAAUAAUGUCAGUUAGGAACACCAGUUCAGAAGACUAAAGAAGCUUAACAAAAUACUAUUGCUAACUCCGUAUCAAUAUAAAACGUUUGUGUAGGCUAAACUAGCCUACAAAAACGUCUUAUAUUUUGAUACGGAGGUAAUACUAACAUAAGUUUCUGAAAAAGGACAAGGUUGAAGUUUGCUCAAGACAACAGAAUCAGAAGGCGGUAAGUAGGUGUGUGACUAAACAAUGGCCUACCAAGUACUCC
This 266-nucleotide long non-coding RNA is filed under the name Hordeum vulgare. Its description in RNAcentral is "long non-coding RNA (HVUL_LNC021481)". The record is from RNAcentral. Lineage: Eukaryota; Viridiplantae; Streptophyta; Magnoliopsida; Poales; Poaceae.